This 50-nucleotide long non-coding RNA is filed under the name Apis dorsata (giant honeybee). RNAcentral describes it as "uncharacterized LOC116185668". The record is from RNAcentral. Lineage: Eukaryota; Metazoa; Arthropoda; Insecta; Hymenoptera; Apidae.
ACGUGUUCUCUUUUGAUCUCGCGAGCAUUCUACCACUGAACCACCGAUGC